AGUGGUCAAGAAAGGAAAGAGGCUUGCGAUUAUCGACUUGGAACGCCCUUUAUGAACGAUAAUCUUUCGAUUAUCGACUUGGAACGCCCUUUACGUACUUUGAAUGGUAUACGAAUGUCGGAUAUGACGCUUGUAUUUAGCACGGUAUUUGCCGGAGACGUCCGAAGUAAUCGGAAAGAUCGACGUCUUAGCCGCGUGGAGUAGCUUUUCGCCACCACUGAUUGGACUCCCCGGGCCUAUAUCAUCAAUCCUAACUGUGUUGAAUAAGUUCCUACAGGUUGUGCGAUCCUCUGACGUCAUUGCGCGUUUCGAUACCCCUGAAAUUCACAGGAGAUGUUUACGGGAGUCUGGUGAUAGAUGAAAGCGCUGUAUGACGAGCAGCGGCCGGCCAUGGCAUGCUUGCAUAGCCAGUCAAGAAGCCAUGCUUCUUCCAAGGGUAACGUUGGCCGCACGGACGUCACCGCGUAUACCAAAAGGUACAAGUGUAGCCGGUGUGGAAUACGCGCAUUUCACUGGCCGACGCUCGAUGCGGCUACAGGUCAUGCACUGAGGGGAAGUUUAAUGAUUACCUUCUUGUGAGUAGAUCAAAACAAGAAUACUGAGGACGAAAAGAGGUGUGACAUCCGGUGAUGGGUUUGGCCAGACUUGUGCCCCUGUGGUGAAAUGCGAGAUCUACCUGCUUUCUCGGGUGUACAAUAUCCCUAUCGUGUACGGGAACAAACUUGGGGAAGCUUUGCAGAGGUAGAAUCCGUAUGUUCCGUCUGGCGUCGCGAUUGAUCUGGAAUUAAUUGUCAGUCUGCCUUUCCAAGAAAAUCAAAGCCUUUUUUCACACGGUCUGCGAGUAGUGUGCUGGUACCAUUGUACUGUACAACUGAUGUUUAAAAACUGACAAAAGUGGAACAGUUUAAAAAUGAACUGAACGAAAUACUGUGGCAGUUUGGGCAGUGUCCUUUUGAAGAGAAAGGCUCUAAUUUCUGUAUCAGCGGUUAACAUGUCGUCCGGUGGGCACAGGCUUCAGCAACCAAAGGUGUCUGUUAGCAAUUAAUGGUUAGUUUUCUGCGGUCUGUCGUCAUGGCUACACGUUGUGAGGGCAGCAUCAUUGAUGUUAGCGCGAGCCGCUGAAUGAUGGGCGGGAAGGGCUUCUGGCGGAUCAAUAUGCCCGGGCUGGCGUGCGUGGGUGUUAGCACGCGCCAGGGUACUCAUUUACAUAAUUUAUGUGCCGAAAGUAGUCCGUGCCUGUCCCACUAGGUCAAACUUCAUCGAUUUCGCAGGAAAUAACAUUAAAUUGUUCAACGUUUCGAAACCAAUCAAGUCGAUUAUGUUAGAUAAUGGUAAUCAACUUUAGCCGUCGUACUCAGGAAGUGCUAAACUUUUCUACACCUCUCUUUGAGAGCGAGAGUCACAGAUCCAUAGCUUCCUUUCCCACAAGGUUUGGCAAUUCAAAAUGGCGCCACACUCUGUACGCAGUCACACCAAUAUCUCUGUUGUUUGGAAAAAUUCGACCUGGCUCUGUGAAGAACAAAACAUUAGCCUUGACUUGUGUGUUGAACGUUUAAUAUAAUAAAGCCCGUAUACAUUGCCAGGAUGAAUUUUAUAAUGCAUAUCAUAAUUUCAAAUGACACGUCAGGUUUUGUAUUUCCCUUCGACACGCUUCUCUUUCAUAUUAUUAUAGAUUUCCACGCAGACCUUGUUCCAAAAUUUAGUUGUUUGUGUUAUAUUUUCAAAGAAUUUCACCGUACAGAACAUAUUUAUUGCAUAUACAUAUAUAUAUAGUUAUUAAUUGCAGAAGCCAUGGUGAAUCAUUUGUAACAUCGGUGGUAUAAGAAAAUUACCAGACAUUUUAUAUGUGUGUUCUGCAAUCACAUUAAAAGUUUUCACUUGAUUUAAUUAGAUUGUUGUUUAAACCCACAUUCAAAAAUUACCACUUAUACGAUUGGUGGUAAGAAUUAAGUGUGGAGGAAAACGGAAUGCUUGGGGCAAACAACCGACAUUUGGCGAGUUACUGGCGUACUUCCCCACCAUUAAGUAUACAACAUAUAGAAAUUAACACUGAAUUAUAUACUGAAAAAUAUGGAGUAACUACUUCAAGCACGUGCUGACAGGUAAACAAGAAAACAAAAUGUGUUGAGCAUAGAGACAGAAUGUACUUUUCUCAGGGCAAUGUCAUCACAUUAUUUAUUUCCAAUUACCCUUGUGUACGUGGAUUUACAUUCGAUACCAUGCUUCUAUUAUAUGAACUGUUUUUGUAUCUACACCUUAUUUAUUUAUUUCAGUGUUUGUUUUGAAUACAGUUGACAUGUUUAUAUACAAUGGUUCAGGUUAAAAAUUGUUCUGAUUUCAGUAUAAAAGUGGCAUGGAAUGUAUAUUCUAU
Long non-coding RNA from Liolophura sinensis, 2371 nucleotides. RefSeq lists it as uncharacterized. The record is from RefSeq and is a predicted model, not a curated record. The transcript has 3 exons. NCBI's taxonomy places the organism in Eukaryota, Metazoa, Mollusca, Polyplacophora, Chitonida, Chitonidae.